RNAcentral lists this ribosomal RNA (253 nucleotides) under uncultured bacterium. RNAcentral's name for it is "partial 16S ribosomal RNA". It matches the Rfam family "Bacterial small subunit ribosomal RNA", at positions 524 to 776 of the family's 1533-position model. The record is from RNAcentral.
UACGGAGGGUGCGAGCGUUAUCCGGCAUCACUGGGUUUAAAGGGUGCGUAGGCGGCUAAAUAAGUCAGAGGUGAAAGCUUGCAGCUUAACUGCGAAAUUGCCUUUGAUACUGUAUAGCUUGAAAGGAGCUGAGGUCAGCAGAAUGUGGCAUGUAGCGGUGAAAUGCAUAGAUAUGCCAUAGAAUACCAAUUGCGAAGGCAGCUGGCUGGGCUUACUUUGACGCUGAGGCACGACAGCGUGGGGAUCGAAUAGG